Molecule: long non-coding RNA, 11376 nt
Filed under: Sarcophilus harrisii (Tasmanian devil)
Lineage: Eukaryota; Metazoa; Chordata; Mammalia; Dasyuromorphia; Dasyuridae
Description: lncRNA (ENSSHAG00000024881.1)
Source: RNAcentral
UAUUAACCAUUUUUAUACAGUCCAUUCUAAUUUUCUUUCUCCUUGCCCUCUCCUGAAAACUUUGCAGUUUACCAAUAUCCUUCCUAAAAUAUGGUACCCAGAAAUGAUCCCUGUAUUCCAGAUGUGGCUUGAUAAAGGCUGAGUACAAGAGAGAAUUUCUGCGAAGAACUGAAGUUCACUAGUCUCUAUUUGACUUAUUUUUCUAUGAAAAUCAGAACUUGUCCCUCUUAGUCCUAUGGCACAUUUUCUUUUGUGGUUUUUGUUUUCGGCCAGGGAGAGAAAGGAGGAAAGUAGAGAUUAUUUUUGAAAUAAAUUUUAUUGAUAUCUUUUUCGAAACAUCAUCUAAAUUCCCCCCUGUAUUUCUUCUUUCCCCAGAGAACCAUUCAUAUAACAAAGAUUUAUUUUUAAGAAGGGAAAAAAAAAGUCAGCAAAACUGAUCGAUACAUUGAAAAAAUCUUAAAACAUACACAAUGUUUUACACCCAUGGACCCCCUACUUCCCCACCUCUGCAAAAGAGUGGGGGUAAGGUGUCUUCUUAUAGUUCUUCUCUGGGACUAAACAUGUUUUCUUUGUAAUUUUGCAACAUUCAUUUUUGGUUCUUUUAUGGUGGUUGUCCUUUCCAUUUCCAUUGUUGUACUCGUUACGAUAUUGUUUUUUGGGGUCUGUUUUCUUCACUCUGUAUCAGUUCAUAUAAAUCUUUCCAUGUUGCACUGUAAUAAUUAUAUUAUUUCUUACAGCACAAUAACAGUCUAUUACAUUCAUAUACCACAAUUUAACCAUUCUCCCACAGAAAGGCAUAUACUUUGUUUCUAGUUCUUUGCUAAAACAAAAAGUGCUACAAUAAAUAUUUUGGUGCAUAUGAAGCCUCUUUUUAUCAAUGACUUGUUUGGGGGUAUAUACUUAGUAGUGAAAUCUCUGAGCUAAGAAUACAGACAUUUUAGCCACUUUAUUUUUCUAAUACCAAACUGCUUUCCAAAAUGAUUGCACUAAUUCACGGCUUUAUCAACAAUGUAUUCGAAUAGUUUAUCUUUUCACACCCUUCUAACAUUUAUUAUUCUUGUCUUUUGUUAUCUUUGCCAACUUACUGGGUGUGAACAAUGAAACCUAAGAUUGUUUUGAUUUACAUUUCUUUUAACUGUAGUUUGCCAUUUUUUUCAAAUAGUUGCAAAUAUUUUGUAAAUCUUUUGAAAACUGUAUCCUUUCACCAUUUAUAUACUGGAAAUACUUGUUCUUAAAUAUUUGUUGUUAGUUCUAUGUUGACUACCUAAUCCUUAACAGAGAAAUUGGAUACAAAUAUUGUUUCUCAUUUGACCAUUUCUCUUCUUAUCCUAAGUGCAUUAAUUUUAUGCAAAAGCUUUUCAAUUAUAUGUAAUUUAUCUAUUUUAACUUUUAUAAUUGUCUCUAGUCCUUUUCUGGUUAAGAUAACAUCUCCUAGUCAUAGAUGUAAAAAGCAUAUGAUUGGUUUCUUCUCUAAUCUUCAUGGUAUUUUAAUGAGCUCUGGCAACUUGAGCAAUCAUACACUCCAUUCCCUCCUUACCUUAGGAUGGAAUUAAUGUGGUCCUCUUAAUUCUAGUGCCUUCCCUCUGUCAGUUAUUUCCUAUUUCUCCUAUAUAUAGAUAUUUGUACAUUUCUGUUUGCAUGUUAUCUCCUUCCCUCAUUCGACUGUGAACUACUGGAAAAUAAGAGACUGUCUUGCUUUUUCUGUGUAUUCCCAGUACUUAGAAUACAGUACUUAGAGUACAUUAAAUACAGUAGGCAUUUAAUGAAUAAUUAUUGAUUGAAAAAAACUGAAUUCAUCAAAAAUAACUAGGGGCUCUCUAUUUUCCUACUCAUAAAUAAAAGGUAUAAAUCUUUAAAGAAAACAAAAAAGACAGACGUCAGCUGGGCUACAUAGAAUCAGCAAUGGACGAAGAGGAAAUGAGGACAAUUGCCAGCACAGAGAGAUGGGAGGGGGCUGGUAGGGUGGGGGGAAGGAGGAAGGAGACAAGAGACAGCUGGAGGUGGGAAAAGGGAGAUGAGGGAGCAGGGAGGAAGGGAGAGACAUGGAGGAUGGAAGAAAUCUCAGGAGGAUAGGAAUGGUCAAAUACUAUUUCCAAUUAAAAAACAAAAAUGAAAAGGAAGAUUUAGGGAUCUAUAAACAAAUAAGCUUGACUCUUGUCCCUGAAAAAGAAGUGUUUUUUAGAGUAUUUAGAAAACAAGUAGUAACCAGCAUAGGUUCACUAAGAGCAAAGUCUCAUUUCCUUUUUCUUUAAAAUUAACAGAUACUAGUUUUGUCUUCUGAGGCCAAAGAAAAUAAGUCUAACUCUUCUUUCAUAUCACACAGUCUUUAAAAUACUAAAAGACAAUUCUCAUGCUCUCAUUGUCCUCUGUUCUGAGUCAUGAGGAAGUGUCUUCCUUUUUUUGAUAACUGUAGGUUGGAAUAUUGAGCCUAUCAUGUGUUGUGACUUUAGUAUAUCUUUGUGCUGACUUUAAUAGUAGGUGUAGAGGCAGUAUAUAUUGCAUGCCUGAAAUGCACUUCCUAAAUGUCACCUUUUUAAAGUUUUUCCUUCCUGAUUCUCAUCCUCCCAAACUAUCUCAAAUUUAUUCUCUGUAUAUACUUAUAUGCGUACUUAUUUUCUCACGUUAGAAAGCUCCUUGAAAGUAGAUUGUUUCAUUUUUUGUAUUUUUAUCCCUGUAGCCUAGCAAAAUGCCUGGCACAAGUAGAUGCUUAAUGUUUGUUGAUUAACAGAUAAAAGCUUAUCGUCAUCCCCACUGAGCCUUGCACACACACAAAAAUCAGGUUGUAAAAAAAUUCUCACCCAUGGGAUAUAGGGAAAUUUGCCUCUUUGAGUUCAUGUGAAAAAGGGGUUGGGGGUUUGUCUACAAGCUCAGUGAGGGGAUACUGAUAUAUUUGCCUAAACAGCUAAUGCAAUACUAAGCUGCAGUAAUAGUUGAUAUCAGUUCUCAUGGUAUUUUGUGUUAGUCUAAUUACAUCUGGAGUAUUGUAUUUAGAUUUGGGCAUUACAGUUUAAUGAUGUUACCAAAGAAAGCACAUAGUGGAAAGAUGAAAAAAAAUCUAUCACCCUAUCCUUCAAUGUCCAAUUGACUUUGUUGUGCUUUUUCUGGAUUCAGAGUUGCUCCUUGCCCAUGAAAAUACAAACUAGGAUGAAUCUGUGGGCUCAUUGAUGAAGAUGCUUCCUCUAAGAAAGAUCACAGCUCAUCCCUGCCUGUCCUUCCAGUACAAUUCUUGUAGGCUAAUCCAUGUCAUCCAUUAGCUCAUCCAGGGGGAGAAAGGGAGUGUUAGUUACCCAACAUGCUGCUGGGAACCCUCCUUUCCUUUUGACAUUUGAAGGAAACUAGUGGUUUCUCUGUAAGUCAUAAACUCCAGGCCAAUUAAGCUUAGAGAUGAGAUGACAUGGAAUUGGGGUGGUGGGGCACAAAAAUGAGGCUGCAGAGAGAAGACCUGAUAUACAGGGUGAUAUAACUUUGCAAAGUGCCUUAUACCACAAAGCAACACUGUUCAUAUAUUAUCUCCAUUCAUAGGGCAAUGUGCCCUAGUGGAAAGAACACUGCAUUUGGAGUUAAUUUCUGGUCCAAUCUCACCUCUGUGAUCAUGGGUAUUUUAUGUCACCAACUCAGUGGGAAUCAAUUUUCAUCUCUGCCAUGAGACUGUAUUGGACCAGAUGGCCUCUGGUGUUUCCAGCUCUAAUGAUUCUAUAAGGAAACUGAGGCUUGAAAUACAGCUAGGAUGAGCCCAAGGUGGGAUUCAAAGUGAGAUUUUCCUCAAUCUGAGUCCAGAGCUCUAUUCUGCUCUACCAGGCUAUGCUAUAUUUCCUAAUCAACAGCAUUAAGUAUUUAAAAAGUUGUUUGUUGGAAAAGGAUUCAGCUUUUUUCAGUUUGGUCAGGUGGCCCACAGAAUAAAACACUGGACUUGGAGUCAGAAGACCUGAAUUUGAAUCCUACCUCAAAUACUUGUUGCUUAUGUGACAAUGAAUAAACCACAAGAUCUCUUUCAGUAUGUUUCCUUAUCUGUAAAAUGGGAAUAAUGGGACUUGUCUAUAAGGGCUAUUAUGAUUAACAUGAGAUAACAUGAAAAGGGCAGAGUAAACCUGGAAGAGCUUUAGAAAAGCUAGCUCUUAUCUCCCGCGGCUCUUAGUUCUUCUAUUAGGACUAAAUGGUGGAAGUUAUGGAGAGGCAAAUGUAUGCUCAAAAUAUAGACCUAAAGUCACGCAAAUAUAAUUCUUUGUGACUUAGGGAGAUGACAACGGCUUUCAGGUAUUUGGAAAUUUUCAUCUGGAAGAAGAAUGCUAUUGAUUCUUCUUGCUCUACAGGAGGAAAUUAUGAGCCGUGACAAACAGUGGUUUAGAAAUUCCUAACAAAACUAUAAAAAAAAAACCUGGUUGCCUUGUCUCUCCCCUUAUUGCCCCUUGAAGUCUUUAAGUAGAAGCAGGAUGGCCACUUUACUGGAGAUGUGAAGAAGAGAUUCUUUUUCAGGGGCAAAUCAGACUAGAUGGCUAGAUACAGAUUAAAAAAUGAUAAAUGAACAGAAUUUUCAGUCUUAAUUAUUCCAUGAUAUUAGAAAUAUUGGAAAAACUCACUUUCAGAGAUUAUGAGUUUUAUUUUGCUAGUUCUUUUGUCAGUUCUACCACAGUAUAGCCUUUUAACUAGAUGGGAUGUCAAACCAGUUAGUAUUAUUUCCAAGCAAUCUAACCCUGGUUUUUCUGUAAUCAAUAUUUGUUAAUUAAAAUGAAUAGAAACCAAGCUUGAAAAUUGUCUUGAUACCAGUCUAUGUUCUUAGGAAACUGGAAAGCUAAGGAGGCAAUCUGAUGGCCCAUAGGACUUGAAUAAAUUGAUCUCUCUUGGACAUGGGUUUGAUUGGAGAUUCCUCAAGGUUAAAUUCCAGAGGGUGGAGUAAAAUGAUAUUUAGACAAAACAAGGUGGGUUUUGAUAAGACAAGAUAUAAAGUCCCUGAGAAUGGAAAGACCAUUUUGAACUAAAAAGUGGGAAGAUCAGCAAAGGCUUCAGGGAAGAGGUAGCAUAGCAAUGGAAUUGAAUCCUUAAAGCCGGAUUUUAUUUGGUGGUACCAAAGAGAGACCACAUGCCAGGAAUGGAAGAUGGUCACUUUCUAAGGAGGGGGCAGAAUAAUAGAGAGGAAUGUUAACUUGAGGGGGAAUAAAACUUGAAGGGCCUAAUUUGACUAAAAUAUGUAGUAUGUGAAAGAGUAUGAUAUACACCUGGAAAGAUAAGCAAUAGCCAAUUUGUGGCAAGUCAUUAAUGGCAAGCAAAGGAAUUUAUUUGCUUUUUAUCCUAUAUGGGACUAUUGAAGAUUUUUGAUUUUAAAAUAAGAUAAGUGGUAUGAUCAGACCAACACAUAGAGAAUGACAGAAACCACUAUAAUAUUUUAAUGUUUACAAAGUGCUUUUCUUACCAUAACUUAUAAGGCAGGUAAACUAAAUAGUAUCCCUAUUUUACAAGCUUAAAUGAUGUAUACCGGAGCAAACUUUGAAUCCACAUCUUCAGACUCCAAAAUCUGACACUUUUACUAUACUAUACAAUAGCAGAUAGACUCAAAUUGAAUGGCUAACCUCAUGAAAUGUCUUCCAGUAAAAGCUUAAAUGUAUGUUGCUAUAGAUGGCUUCCAAGAUCUUUCCUAACUUUUCUGGGACUAUGAAUGGUGAGAAACUGGAAGUGUACAGACAGGAAUUAGGAAGAUGUUAUUACAGCAAUCCAGGUUCUGAAAUUAGGCAGAACAACUUUUGGUAAUAGUAGAGGUAGACACAAGCUGGAGAGAGAACUGAUAGUACAUGUUAGAAAAUGGUUGGACAGGAGGAGAAAAAUGACAGACGACCUCCUGGAAAUCAAGCAGAGGAAUGAAAGGAAAAAGCUGAGAGGAAGAACAGGAGAGCUGAGGCAACUAUAAAUGUUAUAGUGCAAUGACUAUUGAACCUGGAGUCAAGAAAGCCUGAAUUCAAAUUCAGCUUCAGAGAUUUAUUAAUUGUAGGACCCUGGAAAGCCACUUCACUUCCAUCUGCUUCCUUUUCCUCAUUUGUAAACUGGACAGAAUAGCAUCCACUUCUCAGGGAAACUGGUAGGAUCAAAUAAAAUAUCUCUAAUGCACUCUUACAAAUUUAAAGUGCUAUAUAAACACUAUCAUCAGUAUCAUGAUGAUAAAUGCUAUCAUCAUCAGCAUCAUCAGGUUUUAGUUCUGAUACUGUUGAACUUGAGGUACAAGUGAGACACACGGGAGGAGACGUUUUAGUAGUUAAAGAUGAAAGACGAUGUCUGUGGAGAGACUGACUCUACAUAUGUAUUUGGAGAUAAUUAUAUCCACAAAAUGCAGCGACAUAAAAGAAAGACCACAUGUUCUCUCCCUUGGGACAAACAAUAAGUUUUUCAGUUGAAUUAUUUAAAACUGGCAUUACAGCAUUAUUUGAUUUAUGGGAUCAAAUUUGAAAAUGAUCGUUAUGGGUUAAAAUGAUAGGCCAACUACCCCUAAAAUAAAAUUUAAUAGAUAUAAAGUUUUAUAAUUGAAUCUUCUAAAAUACAGGUUAGGGGAGAUGUGGCUGGGCAAUGGGUGUUUUAGUGCUCUAUAAUCUUAAAAUUAUUUUGAAGGAUUACAUGAUGAUCCCCAAAUCUUAUUAUAGAGACCCAGUGUAAUUUAUUAAAAUACUCUGGUAUCUCUGCCUUCAUAAAUUCUAGUAAAUUGGAUUGGAUUUGUCAGAAUAAAUUUAACAGAAGGGGAAGGAAAGGGAAUAAAUAUUUAUAUAGUGCUUAUUAAACGUGAAACACUCAUUAUACUGUUAUCUCAUUUGAUCCUCAAAACAACUCUGGGAAGUAGGUGCCAUUACUAUUCUUAUUUAACAGUUGAGGAAAAUGAGGUAACCAAGUUAAUGACUUGUCCAGGUGACACAGUAAAUAACUUAGGUCAGAAAUGAUUCCAGGGCUGUGAUACAAAGACCAAAAUUGUUAUAGGCCAGAACUUGAAACAAGGUGGUAAAGUCAGUGGAAUUGAUAGAGACAAUGGUUAUUUAGCAUGGUGCUUAACAGUUCUUUAGUUCAGUCAGUACACGUACUUAGUACUUACUAUAGUUGUACAAGAUUCACACUUUUGAUAAGAGACCAUAUAAGCUCGGACAAACUCGGCCAGAAUCAGAACAAAGGAAGACCAGAGAAAUGGUGGUAGGCUCUUCUCCUUCACUUCUCCACUGAAACCAAGACCUGGAAGGCUUCUAAGAAAACUAGCUGAGCCCCAAGUGAAAGACAAGACAAGAGAGCAUAUAUAAGCUAGGAACCUCAGCCAGGAUUCAGUUGGGGAGAUUCAGAAGCCAGAGAAGGCAGGUGGGAGCUCAAGUUCUCAGAACCAAAACCAUACUGAAAGGCUCUCCAGAAAGCUGCCCAGCCCCAGGAAGGAGAUAAUAAAGGAUCUGGACUAUUAGAAAGCUAACCAGGCUGCAGGAAAGGAGACAAGACUUGGGAAGAGACAUUAAAGGAUUUGGACCUUAAUCCCUGACUGCACUUGUGAUUACUGAACUGAAAGGAAGGCUGCCUCCACAGACUCCAACAAACCCCAACAAGAGAAUAUUACAUUUUAGAGAGAAUAUUACACAAAAUGGCAACCCUGUGUCCACAAAGUGCUUACAUUCUAACACAGGAAACAAAGGGGACAUACAGACGUACCAGAAAUACACAAAGUAAAUGAAUAUAAGCUCCCAGGAAGUUGGGGAGGCACUAAGAAGAUCCAACAAAGUCUUAUGGACAAGAUGAUCUUGAACUGUGCUUUGAAAGAAGCAAGGGAUUCUCAAAGGCAGAGAUGAGGUGGAAGAGUACUUCAGGCAGGAGACAACAGUCUGUGCAAGGUCAGUUUGAUUGGACCCCAGAGUAUAUGAAAGGGAGUAUAUAAUGCUGGAAGGGCAAGAUCAGAGACUUCAUUGUGGUGAGGGGCUUUAAAGGCCAUACAGAAGUUUGUAUUUGACUCUGGAGGUCACAGGGAUCCACAGUUUAAUUAGUAUCCUGUGUUUCAGGAUAUAACUUUAAGGAAGGAGGAGUGAGGAAGGCAGAGUCUCAAAGCAGAGAGAAAAAUGAAGAGUAUUCUGCAAAGCUUGAACUAGCAUGAUGGCUGUGUGAGUGGAAAGAAGAGGUCAAAUGCUGGAAAUGUUUCAGAAAUAGCAUUCCCUACUUGGGUUAGGUCAAGUAAUACAUCACUCUUCUGACCUUUUUAAAAAAAAAUCUUGGUUAGAACUUUCCACCAUUAAACCAUUCCCACAUUUCAAAAAGUCCAAAAAGAACAAGGGCAGUUUUAUUUCAUUAUUUCCAAAAUAAAAAUGUCUUCCAUGGAAUUUCCUUAAGACUUUCUGUAUCCCUUUUCACAAAUGCUUAAGUUUAAUACUAUAUAAUAUGUUACCACAUUAACUUCAUAAAUUCUAUUAAAUAUCACAAGCAUCAGAAAUUUAAUUUGAUGUGAAAUUAUUUACAUUUUCAAGUCUGGGUUUCCAAAAAGUUCCUUUUUUUUUUUUUUAAAAUAAAAAUACUGAUAGUCUCUCUCCUCAGUUCCCCAGUGACAGUCCUCCAUCCCCAUAUAAUGGCCUGACAAUGACCUAGGUUCAUGAAGAAAAUCAGAAAAUCAGCAGUGCAAAUUCUGACAUGUCUUAAUGUAAUGGAAAGGCUCAGGGGACUGACUGUCUUCAAAAGCGGCCAAGAGGCUCAUCAACAGAAGGCUGGGCAGCAGGUGACUUUUUUUUUUUUUUUAGUCUGAGAUUUUUAGUCUCAAAAGCUUCCAAAAGAUGUCAACCUGCAUUGGUAGAGGGAGCAGUGACAUUAAUGAAAUAAUCUUUCUGAUAUAUGUAAUUCCCUGUUAAAGUCCCAUUCAUCACCCCUUUUUCCUUGUUCCACUUGUGCUUUGUGAAUGAAGAAGUUAAAAGGAUACUGGCUUUUUUUCCUCCUUACAUGGCAUCAUGAUCUGAAUUUUCUACAAUUCUCACAAAAAUUUCUCUAAAAUUGGUAGCAAGCCGGUGUUACAUCCCAAAGGAAACUGAAGCACCAGACACUGAAUAAGUUGGAGAAGAAGUGGAUGAUCUAGGCACUGUCCUUUCCUAACUGCUGAUAUCAUCACUACUACACAAAAGGAAGCACCCAUACCAACUCAGGAAAAUCAAAUUAAAACCGCAGCUUUCUUCUGUCAUCAUUUUAGUUUUGUGAUUAAAAACAAAAAUAAAAAUAAAACCCCCCUCAAAGUUCCAAAUAAACUAUGAGGAAAUGUUAAGAGAAAAGGGUGAUAUUUAUAAUUAUCCAUUUUAUUUUUAUUCACUAUAGCAACACUUUCAGGAAAGAGUCUUUACAUAAAGGUUUUCUACUUUACAGGCAAAUUGCAAUAUACAGUAUAUACUUUGGACGAAUUAAAAAAAAAAAGACAAAGGGAGAAAUAAACACUCAAAAGUAUUAAUAGUUGUAUUUUUGUCUGUUAGCUAGCAUCAAACUUAAGUCUUUAAAUAAGAAUGUUAUUGGAUUUGGCAUUCUAUUUUUAUUGUGAUUUGACAUCUAAGGAGGCAGUGAAGCAGCUUUAUCACAGCAGUGAUCAAAAGUAUACUGCAUGUUUAUUUAAUGACAAAAUUUAGAUGAUUUUUAAUGUGAGCCUUCCAAAAUGUAUCAAAACUCAUGCUGCCACACUGAAAUAAAAGAGAAUACAUGGAAGGUCGAUUUGAAAAUGCACUUGGAGCAAAAUAUUAAGAAAACAUGAUGUGGGCUCCUCCAAAUUUCAAAAUGCAUUUGAGAUACACAUGCAUGCCAUGGUAUCCACCCACAAAGAAUCCAACCCUUUAGCAGCAUGAAAAAUUAUUAACUUGUGCAGGUUUAUUGAUUCUCAUUUCAAUUGUGUUUCAGGAUCCCAAAGUACAUUCCCAAUGAAUGUGAAAUCAAGGGAAUCUACUGUGCUCACAAAUUGAGAUUGUACAUCUAAGUCUAGCAUACUAGACUAUGGGAAUAUGUGUAAGUGGCAGCUAGAGAAAACAAAAAGAUUCUACAGUAUGCUAUUAAGUCAAAAAUAUAGGAAAACAAAGGAAUAUACAAAGAAAUGUAGGGAAAAAGUGACAUGCGAGGUGGUAUAAUAGUUUUGUUCAGUGCUGUACAGAUGCCUUCAAACAGCAAUAAUUACAGAGAAAUUUAUUUCAAACAAACAAAAAUAGUCAUGUACAACAGGAGGCUUCUUGAUUAGGCACAACUCUAAGCAAUAAAGCUCAUUUAAAGUGCAAAUCUGAUUUUUUUCCUUGUAUUUUUUCACUUGUUAUAAUAGUUAAUAAAGGCUCUCAUCUCUAUUCAAAUAAAUUGAACAGUAGUCUCAUUCUCCUGAAAAUAUUGCACAAAUGAAAAUAACAAAAAGAAAAAUGCAAAUGGGCUUCAGCAAUGAUUGUUAUUUGAAGCAUUCUAAAAAGAUUUAUCUACCUAAUGCUCUAAUCAAUGCUUUUCAAGUCAUCUGCACCUAUUCAAUUAUUUUUAAUUUUCACAAAGGAAAAGGACUAAUCUUUUCCAGACUUUAAGCCCCAAGAGCCUGUCUCCAUUAAUGAACAUUAAGAUAUCUUGUUGAUAGGUCUGAGUACACUAAAAUGACCAUAAUGGACACUAUAUCAGGAACCUGCUAUUAUACUGCUGUUUUUCAGUUAGAAUUUAUGGCAAGGGUAAAGGGAUUUUGUAUGUGUAUGUUUGUUGUUAUCAGGAAGACAUAAAUAUAUGUGGCUGAUAUAUCUUCAAACAUGUGCACAGAAAUGGUUUUCUGACAAUUCAGAAUGAAAGAUGAGUUUAGCAAGCAUGAGGACAAAUUGCAUUUUGUAAUUUCAAGUAAAAAAGAAAGUGAAACAUUUGCCUAUUUUAUUUCCAAAGGGAUAGUUACUUCUCAUCAGUAAAUUAUGGUUAAAGGAAUCAUUGGAAAUACAUGCAACUGAUUUCCUGGCCAUAUUCCCUUUAAUUAAUGGUCAACAGAUACAAAACAAACAAACAAACAAACCCUGACCCAAUAUUUCUGGUUAUCCAAAGCACUUUGUAAUGGUUACCUCUCUUGGAAAAUAUUGCUCCAAGCUGAUGCUGUUACUGGAGAAAUACAAAACAAAAUCUGUAGCCUGAUGGCACUAAAACACCACUAGAUCUAUACAUGCACUAACUUGCAGGGUCCAACAGCUGCCUUGUAAAAGAAAACGAAGUAACUGAGAACAUCUGUCAAAACAGUUUAGUAAAAGACUCUUCCCUCCCCAGUUCUAGUUCUUGUACUAGUCCUCCUCAGUUUCUAAUCACCUUCCAAUGAAUUUGUCACUCAUGCGCACACUCCCAUACAAACAAGAAAGAAAAAAAAAGCAUAGAAAAGCAAAAUCAAAGCACUUAAAGAGUACCAGCUCUUCUCAUGAUAUCAUGGGC